Molecule: ribosomal RNA, 369 nt
Filed under: uncultured bacterium
Lineage: Bacteria
Description: bacterial SSU rRNA
Rfam family: Bacterial small subunit ribosomal RNA
Source: RNAcentral
AUUGAACGCUGGCGGCGUGCCUAACACAUGCAAGUCGAGCGGUAACAGGUGUAGCAAUACAUGCUGACGAGCGGCGGACGGGUGAGUAACGCUUGGGAAUCUGCCUAUUAGUGGGGGACAACCCGGGGAAACUCGGGCUAAUACCGCAUACGCACUACGGUGGAAAGCCGGGGACCGCAAGGCCUGGCGCUAACAGAUGAGCCCAAGUCGGAUUAGCUAGUUGGUAGGGUAACGGCCACCAAGGCGACGAUCCGUAAACUGGUCUGAGAGGACGACCAGUCACACCGGAACUGAGACACGGUCCGGACUCCUACGGGAGGCAGCAGGUGGGGAAUAUUGGACAAUGGGCGAAAGCCUGAUCCAGCGACG